This 840-nucleotide ribosomal RNA is filed under the name uncultured bacterium. RNAcentral's name for it is "bacterial SSU rRNA". It matches the Rfam family "Bacterial small subunit ribosomal RNA", at positions 54 to 890 of the family's 1533-position model. The record is from RNAcentral.
CAUGCAAGUCGAACGAAGCUUGACGGAUGAUUUCUUCGGAAUGAAACCAGAUAUGACUUAGUGGCGGACGGGUGAGUAACACGUGAGCAACCUGCCUUUCAGAGGGGGAUAACGGCUGGAAACGGUCGCUAAUACCGCAUGAUGUGUUCGGAUGGCAUCAUCUGAACAUCAAAGAUUUAUCGCUGAAAGAUGGGCUCGCGUCUGAUUAGAUAGUUGGUGGGGUAACGGCCUACCAAGUCUACGAUCAGUAGCCGGACUGAGAGGUUGAACGGCCACAUUGGGACUGAGAUACGGCCCAGACUCCUACGGGAGGCAGCAGUGGGGAAUAUUGCACAAUGGGGGAAACCCUGAUGCAGCAACGCCGCGUGAAGGAUGACGGUUUUCGGAUUGUAAACUUCUUUUCUUAGUGACGAAGACAGUGACGGUAGCUAAGGAAUAAGCAUCGGCUAACUACGUGCCAGCAGCCGCGGUAAUACGUAGGAUGCAAGCGUUAUCCGGAUUUACUGGGUGUAAAGGGAGCGCAGGCGGGACUGCAAGUUGGAUGUGAAAUACCGUGGCUUAACCACGGAACUGCAUCCAAAACUGUAGUUCUUGAGUGAAGUAGAGGCAAGCGGAAUUCCGAGUGUAGCGGUGAAAUGCGUAGAUAUUCGGAGGAACACCAGUGGCGAAGGCGGCUUGCUGGGCUUUAACUGACGCUGAGGCUCGAAAGUGUGGGGAGCAAACAGGAUUAGAUACCCUGGUAGUCCACACUGUAAACGAUGAUAGCUAGGUGUGGGGGGUCUGACCCCUUCCGUGCCGGAGUUAACGCAAUAAGCUAUCCACCUGGGGAGUACGACCGCA